This 3050-nucleotide unclassified non-coding RNA is filed under the name Hevea brasiliensis (rubber tree). The record is from RNAcentral. Lineage: Eukaryota; Viridiplantae; Streptophyta; Magnoliopsida; Malpighiales; Euphorbiaceae.
GUUAAAUACUACAAGAAUAUUUUAUUUUUAAAUUUAUUUUAGUACAUAUAUUAUUUUUUUUAAUAAUAAUAAUUAAAAAAUACACAAAAUCAUGAAUAUAUACAUGAAUAUAUUCAAUUAUAACAUCAUGCCAUGCUAACAUCACCAAAAAAUAUUAACAUAUAAUAAUGCACAAUGGAGAUAUCCUUUCACACUGUUGGUGGUGUUCACUGUUGAGGGCGAAAGCCGCCUUAAAAGAUCAAAUGCUCUACGCCAGCACCUCGUUUCCUUCUUCUUUCUUUUCACAGUUUGUCAUGACCAAUGCGUGCAAGAAUCAAUUUAUGAAGCUACGGAGAAGGGGAAAAAAAACUACAAUUCAAUGUACAAGAUAUCAGUUGAAUGUAUUUUUUUGUGGCUCAAUAACAGAACCAUGACAAACUGCUAUUCUGUGCAGCUGAUCAUAUCCUGCUAGUACUCCAGCUCCUGCAAUUCCAACAAGCAUAUUUGCAGUAACUCCUCGGUAUAAUGCUGUGAAACCCUCAAGGCGAAUGAUCUCGCGAAAUGCAUGCAAGGCAUUACGAUACUUCACAGGUUGUCCAGAAGUCAGCAUCAUUCUCCGUCUCAAAGUGUCAAAGGGGUAUGCACAGACCCCGGAGACUGUGGUGAUACACCAACCCAACAGGAAACUAGCCAAGAAAUUCCCCUGCAAAAUACACAAACAUUUAGAUUACAUUAUCAGCUGUGAAAAAUGACAUCCCCCACUCUCUCUCUCAAAACCAUCAUACAACCUGAACUUCAUUCACAUUAACUGGAACUAAAAUUUUAUUACCAGUCUUCAGGAAAUAAGCCCAUGAUAUUUGAUGAACUCGAACAUGAUAGACACUUGGAUUAUAUUUUUAUGAACUUCAUCAACAGUCUCUAUCAAAUGCUCAAGAUCAUCUAACACUCAUGUUUGAUAUAGACUAUCCCCUAGAUAUCCAUGUAUUGAAGCUUAGAAUCACGCUUCAGUGAAAGGAAUCAAAAUAAGCUCUAGAUUGACGGUGAUGCGAAUUCCUUCUCUCCAUAGAUAAAAACAUUGCCAAAUUGGAUUGCAACCAAAGAUGGAGUUACUUACCUCAAAAGUUCCCACCAAAACAAUGGGCUUCAUGGUGUCAUAGAAGCCAAAAUACAUGCCACGGUACAGGGUGAUACCCAUUAUUGAAACCCCAAAUCCCCGAUAAAGGCCUACUAUUCCAUCACUUGAUAAGGUUUUACUGUAUACAUCAAGUAACCCUUUAAACUGACGUUGACCAUUAAUUGGGCACUCCCUUGCAUCAGUUCCCAGCCGGGUACGUGCAUAAUCCAAAUGAUAUAAAAGAAGCGAAGUUGUUGCCCCCGCAGCGCUACCUGAAGCCACGUUUCCAGUAAACCACUUUAUGUAACCAUCUUUCUCUUUUGAAUGUCCAAAAAGGCUUUUGAAGUAACCUUUGAAUGCAAAAUUGAAAGCCUAUGGACAAUCGAGCAUCUGUUUCAGUAAUUAGAUUAGGCAAGAUCAUAUAUAUAAACAAGACCCUGUGAUAAUAAAAAGCUCAAGGAAACAAGCAAGGUAACAAACUAAAUUGGAGAAUGAUAAACUAAAUAUUCCUCUCUAUAUGUUCUGUGGAGCAGAGUGUUGCAUAUACCAUUUCACUAGGAUCACAAACUUGCCCCUAAGGGAAUGUAUUGAUAUCUAAGCAAAGCAGAAGUAGCAGAAUUCAUGCUCAGAACUCCUUUAGAUCAGCUUGUAGAUUUAAAAUGAAGCACUAUGAGUUUGAAAAAAAAAAAUUCCAUAUUCAACAAUGGCGAUCAAUAGCUAGUACAGGCGAUCAAUAGCUAGUACAUAGUUGAUAGUCCACAAGAUGAGCGAUACCGAGAACUAAAAAGAGAAGAUUGGGAGAAUACUACAUAAGCAUACUGGGAAGAUAACAUCCAACCAUGUCUUAGAUUUGGCAAGCAAAAGCAUAUAAAAAUUUGAAUUUUAACUCAUCUCAGUUCUGCAUAGCCUUAGCCUCACUAAUCACUAUUCAUAUAGGGGUAGGAAAAAAAAAGGUCUUAAAUCCCUGUUCUUCUCUAGAUAACGGUUCCCAAGAAGCAGAACUGCCAACCAGACCUUAAGUUUUGGAACAUAACAAAAAAGUCAUCAAUACAAAACCAUUUAAGCACCCCCAUCUUCCACAUGCCAAUUUGUCAUCUUUCAAACAACUAAAAGAAUUUCUUAGAAUGCAGUGCUCUUCUCAAUAUUAAAAGAAUUUCAUCAAGGAUCCUUUUCCUUUUUUUGCCACAUGGCGCGAAUAAUGGAAAAACAGAGGGGUGGGACUCUCUCCUUUUUCCACCUCUUAUUACCUUUCCUCGCUUACUUUGGCUAUGUUUUGCCUUUGAUAGUCCUUGCUCUUUUCAGAAUGCAUGUCUUAUUCUCUCUUUAAGGACUGUUUAAUGGCAGGACAACUUAUAAAAGUUGCCAUUGGCAAUGAAAGAAAAGUUCUUGUAAAUAAUCCAUUUAGAAGAUUGCUGCAACAUUAACAUUGUUACCUACUCCAUUAAGGCUGAAAAUGUAGAUAACAUUAUCAAUUUUAACAGAUAAAUAAACUUGAAGGAGAUCAUAAUGAUCCAUUAAGGAAAGGUAGAGGGAGAAAGACUCGAGUCUUUCUCUAGUGAACCAUCAUCUAGCAAAGCUUUUAGCAUGCUCAGAAUUCCUUCAAGAAAUGCCUCUAGUCACACUCAACCUAUUCUGCUGCACACUAGCUACCCAGCAGAGCCACAACAUUUGUCCAUUUAAGUUUUGCUAAAAUAAUCUUGAGUACCGAGAAUAAUCAUAACAGGUGUGAUGUAGAACAAGAAGAGUUGAGAAGCAAAUUCUCAAAGGGGAGAAAAAAAAAUUCAAGAGAAACUAAUUUCUCAUAACUUCAUUUAAUUCUCCAUAAUAACCAUAAAAUAAACUCUAAUAAAAAUACCCAAACUACAUAGGUAUUUAUAGACUAAUCCUACUAUUAUUAGGAUUAAGAAACCCUAAAUAAGAAAAGCCUAAUCAAAUACUAAUUAGGAAUGGAAAACUA